Molecule: ribosomal RNA, 516 nt
Filed under: uncultured bacterium
Lineage: Bacteria
Description: bacterial SSU rRNA
Rfam family: Bacterial small subunit ribosomal RNA
Source: RNAcentral
CAGGACGAACGCUGGCGGCGUGCCUAACACAUGCAAGUCGAACGGGGAUUUGUUUCGGCAGAAUCCUAGUGGCGAACGGGUGAGUAACGCGUAGGCAACCUGCCCUCCGGCCGGGGACAACACUCCGAAAGGGGUGCUAAUACCGGAUACGGAGAUAAUACCGCAUGGUGAUAUUUUGAAAGAUGGCCUCUAUUUAUAAGCUAUCGCCGGGGGAUGGGCCUGCGUCCGAUUAGCUGGUUGGUGGGGUAACGGCCUACCAAGGCGACGAUCGGUAGCCGGUCUGAGAGGAUGAACGGCCACAUUGGGACUGAGACACGGCCCAGACUCCUACGGGAGGCAGCAGUGGGGAAUCUUCCGCAAUGGGCGCAAGCCUGACGGAGCAACGCCGCCGUGAGUGAGGAAGUUCUUCGGAACGUAAAGCUCUGUUGUUCCUGACGAACCUCCCCUCUAUCAACAACGGAGGGGACUGACGGUAGGGAACGAGGAAGCCACGGCUAACUACGUGCCAGCCGCCGC